This 376-nucleotide ribosomal RNA is filed under the name uncultured bacterium. RNAcentral describes it as "bacterial SSU rRNA". It matches the Rfam family "Bacterial small subunit ribosomal RNA", at positions 521 to 896 of the family's 1533-position model. The record is from RNAcentral.
UAAUACGGAAGGGGCAAGCGUUGUUCGGAAUUAUUGGGCGUAAAGGGCGCGUAGGCGGCUCCAUAUGUCGGCGGUGAAAGCAUACAGCUCAACUGUAUUGAGCCGCGGAAACUGUGGGGCUUGAGGCUGGGAGGGGCUGGUGGAAUUCCCUGUGUAGCGGUGAAAUGCGUAGAGAUGGGGGAGAACACUUGUGGCGAAGGCGGCCAGCUGGACCAGUUCUGACGCUGAGGCGCGAAAGCGUGGGGAGCAAACAGGAUUAGAUACCCUGGUAGUCCACGCUGUAAACGAUGGGCACUAGGUGUCGGCGGUCUUUAAUCCGUCGGUGCCGGCGCUAACGCAGUAAGUGCCCCGCCUGGGGAGUACGGUCGCAAGGCUG